AUCCAGACUCCUACGGGAGGCAGCAGUGGGGAAUAUUGCACAAUGGGGGAAACCCUGAUGCAGCGACGCCGCGUGAGCGAUGAAGUAUUUCGGUAUGUAAAGCUCUAUCAGCAGGGAAGAAAAUGACGGUACCUGAGUAAGAAGCCCCGGCUAACUACGUGCCAGCAGCCGCGGUAAUACGUAGGGGGCAAGCGUUAUCCGGAUUUACUGGGUGUAAAGGGAGCGUAGACGGCGAUGCAAGCCAGAUGUGAAAGCCCGGGGCUCAACCCCGGGACUGCAUUUGGAACUGUGUGGCUGGAGUGUCGGAGAGGCAGGCGGAAUUCCUAGUGUAGCGGUGAAAUGCGUAGAUAUUAGGAGGAACACCAGUGGCGAAGGCGGCCUGCUGGACGAUGACUGACGUUGAGGCUCGAAAGCGUGGGGAGCAAACAGGAUUAGAUACCCUAGUA
Molecule: ribosomal RNA, 446 nt
Filed under: uncultured bacterium
Lineage: Bacteria
Description: bacterial SSU rRNA
Rfam family: Bacterial small subunit ribosomal RNA
Source: RNAcentral